Lathyrus oleraceus (garden pea) is the source of this 2497-nucleotide long non-coding RNA. RefSeq lists it as uncharacterized. NCBI's taxonomy places the organism in Eukaryota, Viridiplantae, Streptophyta, Magnoliopsida, Fabales, Fabaceae. The transcript has 4 exons. The record is from RefSeq and is a predicted model, not a curated record.
CAAGUGUGGUCCAAAAAUUGUUAAAAGGUUGGGGUGGGCCUUAGGCCCGAACCCUUAUGUGUCCGGUCACUAGCGAAAUCGCAGGCAGCUGUACAGCUGCCCCACACCCACGUUUCCCUAAGUGGCCCUUGGCCUUCCCCAAAGCGUAACUUGUAAUAUGACAAGUUCGAGGCGUCGCUUAUGGACUUUGUACCAUCCAAAUGCCAACGGUAGCAUUGGAUAACACAAUGGUUUUAAAGAUAACCCCUUUCCCAUUAAAGCUAAUUAAAUGCUAUCUUAAUUAAAACGUAAAGAAACAAACAAAUUUUAAAACGCUUUUUUUAAGGCCAAAGCAAAGCAAACACACACACCUUUCUUCUUCUCCAUCUAAACUCUCAGCUCACCAAAUUUAUUAAAACAGGACGAAUUUAGCAGUGUUUAAUAAGAGGAUUUGAGGAACAUUCGAUGGUAUGCGUCUACUGAAACCAAAAGGAAACUACAAAUCGAUAUUCAAUCUGCACUAAGGAGUUCGAGUGGAAGCGUGUAGUCUAGAUCUCGCAUCAAACUUGGAGCAACAGGCCUCAAACGCUCACAUAACUAACGUGUCAUGUGUUAAGUUCAAUCACUAUCUAACUACAACAAAUCAUACAACCUGUACGAGAUUUUUCUCACUGAGUAGAAAUGGAGAAAGAAAAUAAACCCUUGGAGUGAAGACGAAGAUGCUUCGCGAGAACCUCAGGAAUUCGGCAACGACUUUGGCAACGGUAGCGACUUCGGGGUAACGACGCAAUCCCCUUUUCAUACGACUCAAGCCACUUAUUUAUAGGGUCUCCUUUUGAUAUCUCCAAAUCAUGAGCUGGAAAAUCUAAGAGGAAUCAUUCCGUUAGGGAGAAAAAUCCUUUUGGAUUUGGUGGGGACCGAUUUCCAUACAGGUUGUGAUUGGCAUUCCAUUUACAAGGAUGAUACAAAGGAUUUUUGGUAUUUUGGUUGCUUUGAGGGCUUUCUCAAGAAGAAGAGUGAGUUGUAUGUCGAAUUGACAUCAACUGCGGUUGCUUGAAAUGAGCAGGGGCCUAUAAGGAAGCGUCCAUGGCAAGGUGUUUUGGUAAGAUGUUUGUGAUUCUAUUGUGGAAAGAUUCUGCAACAGGUUUUCUGCUUUAUGGAAUUGAACCAUGUAUCAUUCAAUUCAUACUUCAUUUAAUGUAACUUUUGAUGGUGGUUGGCAUUCUGGCUUGUAAUUCCAUCUUGGCAGGUUCAUUCAUCAUGGAAUUGUCCAAUAUUAUUGGUGAUGGCUAUGUGCACGACAACAAUGUCUCUACUUGACAAUGGUUUGUCUUGCUACUAGUGAACUGGCUUCCUUCAAGAAGAGUAAGAUGAAUCAACUAUUGCCCUUCUAGUUUUAAAUGGAAAAGUGUUCAACAUAAGAGUUGUUCCUCUUGAUCUAUGCUUUCCAAAGAGUCAUAAUUCAAUCAUUUUGGACAAAGUUUAAUGGGUUUGCGCAUGGCUUAAACAGGUCUGUAUCAGUUGGUAAGAUUCAUGAUUCAAAUGUUCAAACAACUUUGCCUUGCCAUCCAAGCUUCAUGCAGACCUCAUUUCAGUUGAUUGUGGACCUAAUUGGAAUGCCUCAUGGGCCUACACACGCCCAUGCAAGCAUGUGCAUUGCAUUGCCAUUUUUGGAUAAUUUUUCAAGUGUGUAAAUAACACUUCUCAUUGCUAUAAAUAGAGGUCCAAUGCCUCAGUUCAAAGGACCUUAUGCGCCAACUUUGCCCCCAACCUUCCAAACCCUCUCAAUUCAAAAGAAAACCUGAGAAAUUUCAAUUGAAAUUUGAGUUUGAAUCUCACAGUUUGGAGAUUCAAAAACUCCAGGAUCCAAAGCUUUGCAUUACUCUUAAGCCACUUCCACAAGCUCCAUAAGCAAGAUCAAGCACGAAUUGAAGUAAGAGAGAACCAGUUCUGCACAACAUUGAAGGUAUUUUUCCAGAUUUUUCUUCUCUUCGAUUCUCUCUCAAUUCUCAUCAAUUCUCUUGGAUCCUUGGUUGUCUGAAGUCCUACCAAUGUAGGCAAGAAGAUUGAGUUGCUUUGAGGUCAAAUCGAAGCAACUCAGUUGACACACCUUAAAAUUCAACUCCACGUAUCUCUAUAUAUUUGGAGUUAGUUAAAAUUGAGGUGAUAUUCGUGAUCUACGCCAUUUUUUCUUUAAGAUCAUGUCCUCUUUUUUCAUUUAUGAUAUGGUGAUGAUUGAACCAUUCCGGCCAGGGUCAUCGGAGAAGAUGACCGACCUUUGGCUCCGGCGAUGCGUUGGAAGUGUUCAGAGCCAUUAGAUGAGUUUAAAAUGUUUUAAUCAGGAGCGUACAUUAUGAUUACCCAGCGUGUGAUCAGUUGACUCAAGCGCAUCAUGGAACACGCGCUCUCCACCACUUGAUAUGCCAUCUCAAUUAAUGAGGGAGAUCAAGCAGUCCAUGUUUUUUUGAUUAUCUGAUUUUUAUUUUUAUUCCUUUGAUUUUCAUUAAUUCAUAUUAAU